GACAAACGCUGGCGGCGUGCUUAACACAUGCAAGUCGAGCGGUAAGGCCCCUUCGGGGGUACACGAGCGGCGAACGGGUGAGUAACACGUGAGCAAUCUGCCCAUCACAUCGGGAUAACUCCGGGAAACCGAAGCUAAUACCGAAUACGACCACCUCCGGCAUCGGAUGGCGGUGGAAAGUUCCGGCGGUGAUGGAUGAGCUCGCGGCCUAUCAGCUUGUUGGUGGGGUAACGGCCCACCAAGGCUUCGACGGGUAGCCGGCCUGAGAGGGUGACCGGCCACACUGGGACUGAGACACGGCCCAGACUCCUACGGGAGGCAGCAGUGGGGAAUAUUGGACAAUGGGCGAAAGCCUGAUCCAGCAACGCCGCGUGAGGGAUGACGGCCUUCGGGUUGUAAACCUCUUUCAGCAGGGACGAAGCGCAAGUGACGGUACCUGCAGAAGAAGCACCGGCCAACUACGUG
RNAcentral lists this ribosomal RNA (465 nucleotides) under uncultured bacterium. Its description in RNAcentral is "partial 16S ribosomal RNA". It matches the Rfam family "Bacterial small subunit ribosomal RNA", at positions 28 to 507 of the family's 1533-position model. The record is from RNAcentral.